UACGGAGGGUGCAAGCGUUAUCCGGCUUCACUGGGUUUAAAGGGUGCGUAGGUGGGAUGGUAAGUCAGUGGUGAAAUCUCCAAGCUUAACUUGGAAACUGCCGUUGAUACUAACAUUCUUGAAUCUCGUGGAGGUAAGCGGAAUAUGUCAUGUAGCGGUGAAAUGCUUAGAUAUGACAUAGAACACCAAUUGCGUAGGCAGCUUACUACACGAUCAUUGACGCUGAGGCACGAAAGCGUGGGGAUCAAACAGG
RNAcentral lists this ribosomal RNA (253 nucleotides) under uncultured bacterium. RNAcentral describes it as "partial 16S ribosomal RNA". It matches the Rfam family "Bacterial small subunit ribosomal RNA", at positions 524 to 776 of the family's 1533-position model. The record is from RNAcentral.